This 424-nucleotide ribosomal RNA is filed under the name Osteocephalus oophagus group sp. ABGD cluster 12. RNAcentral's name for it is "partial large subunit ribosomal RNA". It matches the Rfam family "Bacterial large subunit ribosomal RNA", at positions 1834 to 2439 of the family's 2925-position model. The record is from RNAcentral. Lineage: Eukaryota; Metazoa; Chordata; Amphibia; Anura; Hylidae.
CUUGAGUAACUAUAAGAGGUCCAGCCUGCCCAGUGACUUUGUUCAACGGCCGCGGUAUCCUAACCGUGCGAAGGUAGCGUAAUCACUUGUCUUUUAAAUGGGGACUUGUAUGAACGGCAUCACGAGGGUUAUACUGUCUCCUUUUUCUAAUCAGUGAAACUAAUCUUCCCGUGAAGAAGCGGGAAUAAACAUAUAAGACGAGAAGACCCUAUGGAGCUUUAAACUCAAUAACAAAUACUGGCCUUACAUCAACUUUCAGAAGAUUCACCUUAAUUUUAGUAUUAUGAUUAUUAGUUUUAGGUUGGGGUGACCGCGGAGUAAAAAUUAACCUCCACAUUGAACGGGACCUAUCCCUGAGCCAAGAACUACAGCUCAAAGCACCAACAAAUUGACAUUAAUUGACCCAAUAUUUUGAUCAACGAAC